UCCUACGGGAGGCAGCAGUCGAGAAUCAUUCACAAUGGGGGAAACCCUGAUGGUGCGACGCCGCGUGGGGGAAUGAAGGUCUUCGGAUUGUAAACCCCUGUCAUGUGGGAGCAAAUUAAAAAGAUAGUACCACAAGAGGAAGAGACGGCUAACUAUGUGCCAGCAGCCGCGGUAAUACAUAGGGGGCAAGCGUUAUCCGGAAUUAUUGGGUGUAAAGGGUGCGUAGACGGAAGAACAAGUUGGUUGUGAAAUCCCUCGGCUCAACUGAGGAACUGCAACCAAAACUAUUCUCCUUGAGUGUCGGG
Molecule: ribosomal RNA, 305 nt
Filed under: uncultured bacterium
Lineage: Bacteria
Description: bacterial SSU rRNA
Rfam family: Bacterial small subunit ribosomal RNA
Source: RNAcentral